Molecule: ribosomal RNA, 625 nt
Filed under: Dipylidium sp. MLE-2013
Lineage: Eukaryota; Metazoa; Platyhelminthes; Cestoda; Cyclophyllidea; Dipylidiidae
Description: partial 12S ribosomal RNA
Source: RNAcentral
GUUUGUUUAACUGUGGCAAUAGGAAGCUUUUAGGUGCUAACUGCAUGAAUUAUAGUUUUUUAUUAAGUGGGUUAUGAUUUUUUAUUUAGUAUCAGCAGUUGGUUUUUUAUUAGAAUUUAUGUUUUUUAAGAGUGUCUUUAAUUGUAAGGGGAUAGGUCACAGUGCCAGCAUCCGCGGUUAUUCUGUUUUCUUUGCUUCUUUAUAGAUUAAGUUUAAACAUUUUGUUAAAAUAUUAGGUGAAAUUUUGUUUGUUUUGUAUUAGAUGUUUAGGCUUUAAUAAUUUAUUAUUAUGACAGGGAUUAGAUACCCCAUUAAUUUAGUUUUUACUUUUUCUUAGUUUUUUAACUAAAAUGGUUUGGCAGCAAGUGAAUCCGUUCAGGGGAAGGUGUCAAGUAAAAGAUGGUCCGCUUAAUAAUUUACUCUUUUUAUGUUGGUGUAUAUCUGGUUUAAUAUUGUUGUUUAAUGAUUUUUAAUUUGUGUAUUAUUAAUUUAAGCUAAGUCUAUGUGCUGCUUAUUAGAGUUUUGAUGCGUUACACUUAUAUAGUAAUAUGUGUAUAGAUAUUAUUUGUUUAGGACUUGAUAGUAAUAUUUAAUUUAGUUUGUUAAUGUGAAUAAGGUUUAACUU